UGGAACGGAGCAUUGUUGGGUUGAGACGUUCCUUUUCUUUCAGAUGAAAAUGUGUAGAAAACUACUCUAAACUUUGCCCUUUUAACGAUAGCAUUGGACACUUUUGUGGAAGGAAAUAUUCAGCCGUUGCCCGCAAAUGCUGAAUUCUUGAAAAAGGACCGUUCAUUAGAGACGCGUAGCGAAAUGAAGUAGUACUGCAGUUAGAGAUAGAUCACACCGGCUGAAUCUUGCCGGCGUUCGAAUUCGGACAUCAUUUUGAGAUUUUCAUCUCAAUGGCUUAGCGUACUGUUACCACAUACUCGACACAAAGCUGCCUGUUUCAGGUGCUGUGACCACAUACCUGACACAGGUGCUGUUACCACAUACCUGACACCUGUGUGAGUCAU
Molecule: long non-coding RNA, 386 nt
Organism: Branchiostoma floridae (Florida lancelet)
Lineage: Eukaryota; Metazoa; Chordata; Leptocardii; Amphioxiformes; Branchiostomatidae
Exons: 3
Source: RefSeq, a predicted model, not a curated record